GACGAACGCUGGCGGCGUGCCUAAUACAUGCAAGUCGAGCGAAGUUUUUCUGGUGCUUGCACUAGAAAAACUUAGCGGCGAACGGGUGAGUAACACGUAAAGAACCUGCCUCAUAGACUGGGACAACUAUUGGAAACGAUAGCUAAUACCGGAUAACAGUAUUUCUCGCAUGAGAGAUAUUUAAAAGUUGGUUAUGCUAACACUAUGAGAUGGCUUUGCGGUGCAUUAGCUAGUUGGUGGGGUAAAGGCCUACCAAGGCGACGAUGCAUAGCCGACCUGAGAGGGUGAUCGGCCACACUGGGACUGAGACACGGCCCAGACUCCUACGGGAGGCAGCAGUAGGGAAUCUUCCGCAAUGGGCGAAAGCCUGACGGAGCAACGCCGCGUGAGUGAAGAAGGAUUUCGGUUCGUAAAGCUCUGUUGUUAGGGAAGAAUGGAUAUGUAGUAACUAUA
Molecule: ribosomal RNA, 453 nt
Filed under: Gemella morbillorum
Lineage: Bacteria; Bacillati; Bacillota; Bacilli; Caryophanales; Gemellaceae
Description: bacterial SSU rRNA
Rfam family: Bacterial small subunit ribosomal RNA
Source: RNAcentral